This is a long non-coding RNA of Myotis brandtii (Brandt's bat), 695 nucleotides long. RefSeq lists it as uncharacterized. The transcript is spliced from 4 exons. The record is from RefSeq and is a predicted model, not a curated record. Lineage: Eukaryota; Metazoa; Chordata; Mammalia; Chiroptera; Vespertilionidae.
AGGCGGCCCUUAGCCUCCCGGGUGCCGCUCGGAGAGCUGGGAACCGACGCUUUGUCUUCCGGCGAGAAGUGCAGCCUCCUGGCCGCUCGGUUCAUCCUGACUCGGCAUGGCGAGGCGCAGCGGAGGCGCUCUGAGCAGGACCCUGGGCCAACCCACGAAAUAUCAACAGCACCUCUAUUUGUGUGACAACUGAAACCGCUCCUGUAUUUCCAACACCUCUCGAAGGACAGGACACCUGGUGAGAACCCCGCUGAUGGAGAGAAAGGCAGGGAACAUGCAUACUGGACUGUGAUGGGGAUAUAAAUCCCGAAGAGGUAGGAGUUUAUCAUCUGCCAGAGCAGGUUUUUACUGGCGUAACAACCCUUUCAAGCCUGGAGCUACUCCAAACCGAAGGAUGAAAAUGAGAAGAAAAAUGUUAUUGCAAACAGGUCCGGUGGUACGUGUGCUCCAGCAGGAGCUGGUUGUAGCAAAUCGUUUCACUUCAAACCUGCAUGGAUAUGUUAGACAGUAUUUGGAAGUAAUUAAUUUCUGGUCAAUUCAACCCAACAUUAUGCCAACUUUUGCAUUUAUUGUAGACACUAUUUUAAGUACUAGAGAUUAAAUUUUCAUCACCAAAACAUGAAAAUAGCAGCUACUGCCCUAACCGGUUUGGCUCAGUGGAUAGAGCGUCGGCCUGUGGACUGAAGGGUCCCAGG